Molecule: ribosomal RNA, 440 nt
Filed under: uncultured bacterium
Lineage: Bacteria
Description: partial 16S ribosomal RNA
Rfam family: Bacterial small subunit ribosomal RNA
Source: RNAcentral
CCUACGGGAGGCAGCAGUGGGGGAUAUUGCACAAUGGGGGGAACCCUGAUGCAGCGACGCCGCGUGAGUGAAGAAGUAUUUCGGUAUGUAAAGCUCUAUCAGCAGGGAAGAAAAUGACAAUACCUGCCCAAUAAGCCCCGGCUAACUACUGGCCAGCAGCCGCGGUGAUACGUAGGGGGCAGGCGUUAUACGGAUUAACUGGGUGUAAAGGGAGCGUAGACGGGUAUGUAAGUCUGGAGGGAAAGCCCGGGGCCCAAACCCGGGACUGCUUUGGAAACUGUGUAACUGGAGUACAGGAGGGGCAGGCGGAAUUCCUGGUGUAGCGGGGAAAUGCGUAGAUAUCAGGAGGAACACCGGUGGCGAAGGCGGCCUGCUGGACUGAAACUGACGUUGAGGCUCGAAAGCGUGGGGAGCAAACAGGAUUAGAUACCCGGGUAGUC